RNAcentral lists this long non-coding RNA (709 nucleotides) under Bos grunniens (domestic yak). Its description in RNAcentral is "lncRNA (ENSBGRG00000015422.1)". The record is from RNAcentral. Lineage: Eukaryota; Metazoa; Chordata; Mammalia; Artiodactyla; Bovidae.
CCGCCUGAGCGGCGCCGCGAGGACAAGGCGGCCGGGCGGCGUGAAUGGGCGGCGUCACGCGCCUGGCGCCAGAGAGUCUGCUCCCGGGCUCCGGCCCCGGCCCCGCCGCGGCCCGGCCCGCGCGCCGCUGCCGCCGCCGCCGCGCAUUCAUCACCUGUCAGGGCUCGCUCGGGGGGUCACGGGCGGGAUGGACACAGCUGGGAGAACAAAACCGGGGGGAAGAGAGGCGAGCGCUCCCCAGCGCGCCAGAUGUGCCGGGAGGACCUUGAGACACCCCCUCCUCCGCACCCCACCUCCGCCUUCCCGCAGGCUCCUCCCGCCCCCAGUUGCAUCACGCGGGGCGGGGGAUGGGGGUUGGAAUUGCAAAGGCCGUCCGGCCAGCCUGGCGCGCCCGGCCCGGAGCUGCUUCUCAUUACCGCGAGGGGCCAGUCGCGCUGGGAGCCGGCGGCGGCCGGGCCGGGGUGGAGACCGAGGGAGUGAAGCCCUGGAACCAGCUGGGCUGGCGCCCGUUCCGCCCACCCCCACGGCGAUUGGCUGCGAACGCGGAAGGACGGAGCUCUCCCCUCGCGCCCGCGCCUGCCAAUGGGCGCGCCCGCCCGGCCUGAUGGACGCACCGCCUUCCACCAAUGAGGGCGCGGGGAAGCCGGGUCGUGUGGCCCCGGCGAGCGCGUAUAAAAGCCGCCGGGCCGGGCUCCCCGCUUCAUUCUGA